AACGAACGCUGGCGGCGGGCUUAAGACAUGCAAGUCGUGCGAGAAAGUCUCCUUCGGGAGGCGAGUAGAGCGGCGCACGGGUGAGUAACGCGUGGGUAAUCUGCCUUUGGGUCUGGGAUAACCUCGGGAAACUGGGGCUAAUACCGGAUGAGACCACGAGGUCCUCGGGCCUCGCGGGAAAAGCUGGCCUCUCCAUGGAAGCUAGUGCCUGAAGAUGAGCCCGCGUCCCAUUAGCUAGUUGGUGGGGUAACGGCCUACCAAGGCUACGAUGGGUAGCUGGUCUGAGAGGAUGAUCAGCCACACUGGGACUGAGACACGGCCCAGACUCCUACGGGUGGCUG
This 341-nucleotide ribosomal RNA is filed under the name uncultured Pseudomonadota bacterium. RNAcentral's name for it is "bacterial SSU rRNA". It matches the Rfam family "Bacterial small subunit ribosomal RNA", at positions 29 to 351 of the family's 1533-position model. Lineage: Bacteria; Pseudomonadati; Pseudomonadota. The record is from RNAcentral.